AGUGAACGCUGGCGGUAGGCCUAGCACAUGCAAGUCGAACGGCAGCACAGUAAGAGCUUGCUCUUACGGGUGGCGAGUGGCGGACGGGUGAGGAAUACAUCGGAAUCUACUUUUUCGUGGGGGAUAACGUGGGGAAACUUACGCUAAUACCGCAUACGACCUACGGGUGAAAGCAGGGGAUCUUCGGACCUUGCGCGAUUGAAUGAGCCGAUGUCGGAUUAGCUAGUUGGCGGGGUAAAGGCCCACCAAGGCGACGAUCCGUAGCUGGUCUGAGAGGAUGGUAAGCAAAAGUGGAAAUGAGACACGGACAAGACUCCUACGGGAGGCAGCAGGGGGGAAUGUUGGACAAUGGGGGAAAGCUUGACCCAGCCUUAGCGGGGGGGGGAAGAAGGCCUUCGGGUUGUAAAGCCUUUUUGUUGGGAAAAAAAAGCAGUAGGUUAAUACCCCGCUGUUCUGACGGUACCCAAAGAAUAAGCACCGGCUAACUUCGU
RNAcentral lists this ribosomal RNA (491 nucleotides) under uncultured bacterium. RNAcentral's name for it is "partial 16S ribosomal RNA". It matches the Rfam family "Bacterial small subunit ribosomal RNA", at positions 29 to 506 of the family's 1533-position model. The record is from RNAcentral.